UACGAAGGGCCCGAGCGUAGCGCGGAUUCACUAGGGCUUAAAGGGUGCGUAGGCGGACUCGCAAGUGUUUUGUGAAAUCCCAGGGCUCAACCCUGGAAUUGCUUAACAUACUGCGUGUCUUGAGGUCGGCAGAGGUCGUCGGAACUCUAGGUGGAGCGGUGAACUGCGUAGAUAUCUAGAGGAACGCCAAAGGUGAAAACAGACGUCUGGGCCGAUUCUGACGCUGAGGCACGAAAGCGUGGGUAGCGAACGGG
RNAcentral lists this ribosomal RNA (254 nucleotides) under uncultured bacterium. Its description in RNAcentral is "partial 16S ribosomal RNA". It matches the Rfam family "Bacterial small subunit ribosomal RNA", at positions 524 to 776 of the family's 1533-position model. The record is from RNAcentral.